Molecule: ribosomal RNA, 698 nt
Filed under: uncultured bacterium
Lineage: Bacteria
Description: bacterial SSU rRNA
Rfam family: Bacterial small subunit ribosomal RNA
Source: RNAcentral
GACGAACGCUGGCGGCGUGCCUAACACAUGCAAGUCGAGCGGGGACAUGCGACGGAGAUGAAGAUUUCGGUUGGAUUCAAAGAUGUAUUGUUCUAGCGGCGGACGGGUGAGUAACGCGUGAGCAACCUGUCCCUUACAGGGGGAUAACACAGCGAAAGUUGUACUAAUACCGCAUGAGACCACGGUGAGACAUCCAUAGGGGUCAAAGGAGCAAUCCGGUAAGGGGUGGGCUCGCGUCCGAUUAGAUAGUUGGUGAGGUAACGGCCCACCAAGUCGACGAUCGGUAGCCGACCUGAGAGGGUGAUCGGCCACAUUGGGACUGAGACACGGCCCAAACUCCUACGGGAGGCAGCAGUGGGGAAUAUUGGGCAAUGGGGGAAACCCUGACCCAGCAACGCCGCGUGAGGGAAGAAGGUUUUCGGAUCGUAACCUCUGUCCUUGGUGAAGAGGAAGAGACGGUAGCCCAGAGAGCCCCGGCUACUACGUGCCAGCAGCCGCGGUAUACGUAGGGGGCGAGCGUUGUCCGGGAUGAUUGGGGCGUAAAGGCGCGUAGCGCCCGUUAAGUCUGAAUGAAAGUCCUGCUUUUUAUGUGGAUUGCUUUUGGUAUACUCGUCUGGCCUUGAUGCGGAGUAUGGAAUUCCACUCGUACCGGAAUUGCUUUCAAUUGGUGGAACCAUGGCGAGGCCAUUCUGGCUGAC